AUUGAACGCUGGCGGAAUGCUUUACACAUGCAAGUCGAACGGUAGAGGGGGCAACCCCUUGAGAGUGGCGAACGGGUGAGUAAUAUAUCGGAACGUGCCCAGUCGUGGGGGAUGACGUAGCGAAAGUUACGCUAAUACCGCAUACGAUCUAAGGAUGAAAGCGGGGGAUCGCACGACCUCGCGCGACUGGAGCGGCCGAUAUCAGAUUAGGUAGUUGGUAGGGUAAAGGCCUACCAAGCCAACGAUCUGUAGCUGGUCUGAGAGGACGACCAGCCACACUGGAACUGAGACACGGUCCAGACUCCUACGGGAGGCAGCAGUGGGGAAUUUUGGACAAUGGGCGAAAGCCUGAUCCAGCCAUUCCGCGUGCAGGAUGAAGGCCCUCGGGUUGUAAACUGCUUUUGUACAGAACGAAAAGGUUUCUAUUAAUACUAGGAGCUCAUGACGGUACUGUAAGAAUAAGCACCGGCUAACUACGUG
RNAcentral lists this ribosomal RNA (480 nucleotides) under uncultured bacterium. Its description in RNAcentral is "partial 16S ribosomal RNA". It matches the Rfam family "Bacterial small subunit ribosomal RNA", at positions 30 to 507 of the family's 1533-position model. The record is from RNAcentral.